GACCAGGAACAUGCAGGCAUGGAACGAGUUGCAAAUUGGCCUCUAUGGAUGCAGGAUGCAAACAGGAAAGACAAAGUGACUAGAUCCUGAAGUGAGCUGAGAAGCAGUUCCCUGCUGAUGUGAAGCUGAUGGAGCUGGAGUGCCUGUCAUCCUGCUGCUUGGGGUAGGUGAAUUUAGGAAUCCUAUUUUGGGAUUAUCAACAAUUCUCUCUUCUUUCCCCACA
RNAcentral lists this long non-coding RNA (223 nucleotides) under Struthio camelus australis. RNAcentral describes it as "lncRNA (ENSSCUG00000005921.1)". The record is from RNAcentral. Lineage: Eukaryota; Metazoa; Chordata; Aves; Struthioniformes; Struthionidae.